Molecule: ribosomal RNA, 465 nt
Filed under: Vreelandella stevensii
Lineage: Bacteria; Pseudomonadati; Pseudomonadota; Gammaproteobacteria; Oceanospirillales; Halomonadaceae
Description: partial 16S ribosomal RNA
Rfam family: Bacterial small subunit ribosomal RNA
Source: RNAcentral
CCUACGUGAGGCAGCAGUGGGGAAUAUUGGACAAUGGGCGAAAGCCUGAUCCAGCCAUGCCGCGUGUGUGAAGAAGGCCUUCGGGUUGUAAAGCACUUUCAGUGGGGAAGAAAGCCUUGGGGCUAAUACCCUCGAGGAAGGACAUCACCCACAGAAGAAGCACCGGCUAACUCCGUGCCAGCAGCCGCGGUAAUACGGAGGGUGCGAGCGUUAAUCGGAAUUACUGGGCGUAAAGCGCGCGUAGGCGGUCUGAUAAGCCGGUUGUGAAAGCCCCGGGCUCAACCUGGGAACGGCAUCCGGAACUGUCAGGCUAGAGUGCAGGAGAGGAAGGUAGAAUUCCCGGUGUAGCGGUGAAAUGCGUAGAGAUCGGGAGGAAUACCAGUGGCGAAGGCGGCCUUCUGGACUGACACUGACGCUGAGGUGCGAAAGCGUGGGUAGCAAACAGGAUAAGAUACCCGAGUAGUC